AAUCUGGUUGAUUCUGCCAGUAGCAUAUGCUUAUCUUGGAGAUUAAGCCAUGCAUGUCUAAGUAUAAGUUAUAUACGGCGAAACUGCGAAUGGCUCAUUAAAACAGUUAUAGUAUAUUUGAUAAUGUUUUUAUACGGAUAACCGUUGGGAAACCAGAGCUAAUACGUGCUUAAAGCCUUCGGGUGUAUUUAUUAGUUAUAAACCAAUGGCAUUGCCAAUGUGAUGAAUCAUAAUAACUGAUCGGAGCGCAUUUGUAUGCGCUAAAUCUUUCUAGUUUCUGCCCUAUCAGCUUUGAUGGUAGUGUAUUGGACUACCAUGGCUAUCACGGGUAACGGAGAAUUAGGGUUCUAUUCCGGAGAGGGAGCCUGAGAAACGGCUACCACACCUACGGGAGGCAGCAGGCGCGUAAAUUACCCAAUCCUGACUCAGGGAGGUAGUCACGAGAAAUCUUGGAUCGGCCCAAGCUGGCUGAGUACACGAUGGAUUGAAUACAAACCAUUCUUUGAAAUCAAUUGGAGGGCAAAUCUGGUGCCAGCAGCCGCGGUAACUCCAGCUCCAAUAGUGUAUCUUAACGUUGUUGCAGUUAAAAAGCUCGUAGUUGAAUUUCUGGGGGGGUGUUUCAAGGUUCGUCCUGUUACUGCCCUCUCAUCCGCUUUGGAACCAGGAGGGGUAUUUAGUUAUCGGCCUGGGGAAGGGGCAUUUUACUUUGAAGAAAUUAGAGUGUUCCAGGCAGGCUUUGCUUGAAUACAUCAGCAUGGAAUAAUGGAAUAGGACAAUGUUCAUUUUAUUGGCUAUUGAACUUGUAAUGAUUAACAGGGACAGUUGGGGGCAUUCGUAUUCAUUUGUCAGAGGUGGAAUUCUUGGAUUAACUGAAGACGAACUAAUGCGAAAGCAUUUGCCAAGGAUGUUUUCAUUAAUCAAGAACGAAAGUUAGGGGAUCAAAGACGAUUAGAUACCGUCGUAGUCCUAACUAUAAACUAUACCGACUAGGGAUUGGCAGGGGGACAGACCCCUGUCAGCACCUAAUGAGAAAUCAAAGUCUUUGGGUUCUGGGGGGAGUACGGUCGCAAGGCUGAAACUUAAAGGAAUUGACGGAAGGGCACCACCAGGAGUGGAGCCUGCGGCUUAAUUUGAUUCAACACGGGGAAACUUACCAGGGCCAGACCUGAGUAUGAUUGACAGAUUGAGAGCUUUUUCUUGAUGACGGGGAUGGUGGUGCAUGGCCGUUCUUAGUUGGUGGAGUGAUUUGUCCGGUUAAUUCCCUUAACAAACGAGACCUUAACCUGCUAAACUAGGUGUGCUUAUUUCUUAUGCAUUACCUUCUUAGAGGGACUAUGUGAUCUAAACACAUGGAAGUUUGAGGCAAUAACAGGUCCGUGAUGCCCUUAGAAGUCCUGGGCCGCACGCGUGCUACACUGACUCAUUCAACAAGUAUAACCUAAUCCGAAAGGGGACGGGAAAUCUUUACAACGCGAGUCGUGCUAUGGAUUGAUGUUUGCAAUUUUUUAUCAUGAAAUAGGAAUUCCUAGUAAUCAUAAGUCAUCAUCUUGUGGUGAUUACGUCCCUGCCCUUUGUACACACCGCCCGUCGCUCCUACCGAUUGAGUGGUCCGGUGAACUUUUUGGACUAUUCGCCCUUAGCUGGAUAGGAAGUUAAGCAAACCUUAUCACUUAGAGGAAGGAGAAGUCGUAACAAGGUUUCCGUAGGUGAACCUGCAGAAGGAUCA
This 1726-nucleotide ribosomal RNA is filed under the name Spirodysteria kahli. RNAcentral's name for it is "SSU rRNA". It matches the Rfam family "Eukaryotic small subunit ribosomal RNA". The record is from RNAcentral. Lineage: Eukaryota; Ciliophora; Phyllopharyngea; Dysteriida; Dysteriidae.